RNAcentral lists this ribosomal RNA (489 nucleotides) under uncultured bacterium. RNAcentral's name for it is "bacterial SSU rRNA". It matches the Rfam family "Bacterial small subunit ribosomal RNA", at positions 18 to 518 of the family's 1533-position model. The record is from RNAcentral.
UCUGGCUCAGGAUGAACGCUGGCGGCGUGCCUAACACAUGCAAGUCGAGCGGAGAUAAGUUGAAGCCUAGCGAUUCUUAUCUUAGCGGCGGAUGGGUGAGUAACACGUGGGUAACCUGCCCUGCACUGGGGAAUAACAGCUGGAAACGGCUGUUAAUGCCGCAUAUGCGCACGGAGCCGCAUGGCUUUGGGCGGAAAGAUUUAUCGGUGCAGGAUGGGCCCGCGCCGGAUUAACUAGUUGGCGGGGUAACGGCCCACCAAGGUGAUGAUCCGUAGCCGACCUGAGAGGGUGACCGGCCACAUUGGGACUGAGACACGGCCCAAACUCCUACGGGAGGCAGCAGUGGGGGAUAUUGCACAAUGGGGGAAACCCUGAUGCAGCGACGCCGCGUGAAGGAUGAAGUAUUUCGGUAUGUAAACUUCUAUCAGCGGGGAAGAAGAUGACGGUACCCGACUAAGAAGCCCCGGCUAACUACGUGCCAGCAGCCGC